ACUGGGACUGAGAUAUGAUCCAGACUCCUACGGGAGUAAGCAUCCGGGAAUCUUGCACUAAUGGGCGCAAGCCUGAUGCAGCGACUCCGCGUGGGUGAUGAAGGUCUGCGGAUCGUAAAGCCACUGUCAAGGAGGGAAGACACCCGACUGUACCUCCUAAAGGAAGCUCCGGCUAACUACUCUGCCAUGCAGGCGACGAGUAAAACGUACGGAGCUAGCGUUGUCCGGGAUCACUGGGCGUAAUCGGCACGCAGGCGGUCUGAAAAGCGGUGGGUGCAAUCUCGAGGCUCAACUUCGAAACUGCUCGCCGAACUAUCAGACUAGAGCAUGGGAGAGUGACAGGUGUGAAUUCCCGGUGUAGCGGUGGAAGUGCGUACAUAUCGGGAGGAACACCAGUGGCGAAGGCUGCUGUCUGGAACAUUGCUGACCGCGUGAGGUGCGAAAGCCAUGGGAGCGAACGGGAUUAGAUACCCCGGUGUUCCUGGCCGUACACGAUGCUCACUAGCUGUACCAGGCAUUAAGCCCCGGUAGUACUGUUCUGCUAACGCAGUUAAGUGACCCGCCUGGGGGAGUACGACCGCAAGCCUGAAACUCAAAGGAAUUGACGGGGGCCCGCACAAACGAUGGAGCAUGUGGGUCAAUUGGAUGGUACGCCAAGAACCUUACCAGGGCUUGACAUGUUGGGUCCCGCCUGAGAGAUCAGGC
RNAcentral lists this ribosomal RNA (705 nucleotides) under uncultured organism. Its description in RNAcentral is "bacterial SSU rRNA". It matches the Rfam family "Bacterial small subunit ribosomal RNA", at positions 312 to 1012 of the family's 1533-position model. The record is from RNAcentral.